Pantherophis guttatus is the source of this 216-nucleotide non-coding RNA. The record is from RefSeq and is a predicted model, not a curated record. Lineage: Eukaryota; Metazoa; Chordata; Lepidosauria; Squamata; Colubridae.
UGUUACAGAUUAGUGCAUAUCGAGAGCUCAGUUUCUUACUGCUGACUGUGCAAGACAUCAAUUGGAAUUAAUACAGCCGAAACCUACAUGGUUUGCCCGCCCCCCAGGAAAAUAUGGUCACUGUAAGCAAAGGGCAAUGGAGACCAGUAGGCAUCUUUGUUUGAUUCUGGACUCCGUGUCUUUGCCAAGAUGGUCUUUGGCAGCGUGUCAAAGGAG